This 32291-nucleotide long non-coding RNA is filed under the name Triticum aestivum (bread wheat). RNAcentral's name for it is "long non-coding RNA (TAES_LNC000887)". Lineage: Eukaryota; Viridiplantae; Streptophyta; Magnoliopsida; Poales; Poaceae. The record is from RNAcentral.
AAGCGCCGUGCCGCGAUCUGGUGUUGUUCGACUACAAUGGACACAUGUGGCUGACCGUAGAGAAAGAUGGGCGUGAGCCUCUAGUGGUUGUGUUCAAGAAGUUCCAUCUCGCCAGCUUGCCUCCUGCAAAUCCUCCACAACUAGGCUAGUGCCGAUGCUACUAUGUAUGUGUACUUGCUUAACCGUUUGAUGCAAGGAAUAAAUUUCUAGUGGAAGCAUGAAACAGUCCUAUUUUGCUGGUCGUCCGGUAUUGCUUUAUGUUUUCGGGUCAUUCUAGUGCACCAUGUAUCAAAGUGUUUUGAGACCUUGAUCGGAACAUCAUGAGCUCACCCAGAUGUCCACAUGAGUCCCAUAAGACCAACCUGAAGCGGUCGCGCACUUUCCCUUCUUAUCUCUUCCAUGGUUUCAGAUGUUUCUUGUUCGUUCCCCAUCUCUGAAGCCAGCGUCGGCCAUCCCCGCCUCUCCUCGGAUCCAUCGUCCUACAACUCCGGCUAGCUCCUCUGCCACCCUAAUCUCUCCUCCUCCUCGAGAUAGUCCAUUCUCCACGCCUCCUUCCUACACAUGAGCCCUCUCCUUGGUUUGCGCACACGGUGCUCCGUGCAGUCAUUGUCGCUACAAAUAGCGAGCUGGGGGCGACACUAGGGUUGCGACUGGUGUCCGAGUUGAUACAACCGUAGUCGCAUAACGGUGCUGCUAUGACCUCCACAUCAUGUUGCUACAACUAGUGAGCGGCCGUGCUAGAACUGGCGCAUGGCAAUGCUGCUAUACGCCCACUGCCUGCUGGUGUUGGAGACGACGCGCACACACAACACCCGAUAUUGAAGAUGAUACACACACACAACACCCCCGUGCGCUGCGUCUAGCAACCCAUCGGUGCUGGAGAUGGCGCCGACAGUGUUGCAACUGGCAACCGCCGAGGCUGGUCCUGACAUGGGAUGUUGCAACCACGACCUUGGCAAGCUAGAACUAGCAACAACCUAUGUUGGAACCUUACCAGCGAUUGAUGGAACCAGUGUCAGGGUUUUCUCGAACCAGAGGCACCUCGGGUUGCAACCAGCAAGCUAGUGAGCUGGAACCAAAAUGGCGGCGAGCUGCAAUCGGCGGGCGCCAAUGUUGGAACCAUCUCGGCGGUGAGCUACAACCUACAUGCGCUGAUGCUAGAAUCAGCUAUCGGCGGUGCUGCGAUCCCAGAUGACCACGCCAUAACCUGGAAGCCCGUGAUACAAGCCAACCUUGACUAUGGAGUUGCAACCGACAGCACCAAAGGCUGCAAGCAGCGGACGAGAUGUUGCGACCGAUAUUUUUGCACCCGCAGAUGUUGUGUUGCGACGGAGCUGUGAGUCUUGGGAUGCACGCAAGGGGUGGCGGACGCGCGGAAUUGUGUUGUAGCAGGGCCCAGCUCGCUCAAGUCAACGCUCUGUCCCGUUUCUUUAUUUCGUAUCUGUUUCUUGGGACGAAGCUAUGGGAAAGUGAUGACGUGCGAGAUUGCGAUCGAACAGUUAAAGAGGGUUGCAUCAAACGGUUGUGUGGCGACCACCGAAAAUUUGGGCCGACCGGAUGGCGCCUAGCGUCCGCCUUCUCUUUUUCUUUUGAUUCAUUUCAUCUAUAUGUUGCGUGUUUCUGUCGUAGGCGACACAGACAACAACAGUGGCCAAGGCCCUGGUGUCGAGCCCCUAAUCCAUGUUCAUUUCCAUGUCCCUGGUGGUGGUGAGCUGCUCUGCCAGCACCCCACUAGUUAUUCUUUUCCCUCGACCUGUGAUGUGUUCGACGAUGCUGUUGAAGAAGGACCUAACCGUAGGCUGCGGUGCUUCCCCACCCCAUAAGGCCUAAUUUGGUCGUAAGGAGAAAAUAUCCUAGGGCCACGGGGGAUUUCCAUGGCCAUCGGGGACCCUCGCCUUCCACCACGGCGAGAUCACCAUGUCAGUUUGGAUCGUAGGGAGAAGGGGAGGUGAGGAAAAUGCUAGGGGUAGUGCUCAGGUGAAGGAGAUCGCUAUACGGUAGGUAUGCUUUACCCUGUCGCCUCCCGCACUCCAAUUGGCGGCUUUUCUCCCCGACGUUUGUAGGCAUGGAUCUCCCAUCCGGGGAAAGGACGGGGAUCGGGGCAGAAUAUUCACAGCGAGCGAUCGACCAAAUGUCGGGGUGGUUUUCCACGGGCCGAUUGCCCUCCUGGGCUAUGCACCCUGGUUUUUAGCGGGGAUCCCCCCGGGAUAACGAGCUACCAAAUGAGCCCUAAGAGAGUCUUGUUUUCCCUUUCCUUCUCCCAUCUACGCCUUCCUCAUCGGCUAUUCCAUUGGAUGAUUUGCUCUCUUGAUUAUUCUCUACUCUGAUCAGCCAUGGCAGAUAGUACUCUUACCCCAUCAAGGAGAGCUUCAGUUAGGAACUCAAACUCAAGUACAAUGGGAAGAACAGGAACACCUUCCACUCAUGUCGACCAUUUGCAAUAGCUGCCCUAAAAUAAGGCACUAUCCCUUUUCAAGGCACUUAAGGCAAAAACAAACCCCUCCAACGGCUGCCCUAGAACAAAUAAUUUUUUUUUCUGAAAACUUGGGUUGUCCUAAAAUAUAGCAAUUGGUACUACAAAUAUACAAAACCAUGGGCAGCUGCCGCAAAAUAAAACAACUUGUAGCUCAACCUGCAGCCUCCAUCCACAGCCGCAUGCAACCGCCGCCCCCUCUCCAGUGUCACCGUCAUCUCAAGAUCCAUGAUCGCCGCCGGAUCCACUCACCUCCGAUCGUCGCCGCCUACUGGACCGAUCAAAUUUCCGCGCGCCGCACCAAAUUCACUGCACCGCACUGCUGCAGCCGAAUCCGCUGCAUCCUCAUCACCUCUCAUACAUCAAUGGUUGUUCCUCCACCGCCACAACAUCCUCCUUUUCCUCCGUCCGCAGCUAACCCACCGCAGCCACCAUGCGGAAGGGAAAGGGCACGACCGGGUUCAAGGGGUGCGGCCGCGGCCGUCCGGCAAGUUCAGCGUCGAGUAACAGCAUGCCGCCCGGUGGUACUGGCUCAACACCCUCUUGACGCUAGACAUUACUGCCCGCGCCAACGACAUCGCGGCGUGGAUGCUCAGCCUACCACAUGAGAGGCUCAACUUCCUGGAGAUCGAGUGUCUGCAGAGACCACCCUGAGUACGCGCAAUAGGAGAUGCAGUUCUACUAGAAAUCUAGAAUAGGGAUCUCGAGAAGUGGAAGCUGUAGAAUUGUAUUAAAUAAUUGUUGAUGCAAUAUUGUGCCGGUACAAGAAGUAUAUAUAAGAGCCAAGCCGCACCUGACCUAGCCUUAUUACAAACCGAGUAGGAGUCAUAAUCCUAAUACAAGUUGUAUUCUAACAUCCCCCGCAGUGUCAACGGUAGGCUCGACGACGUUGAGACUGAAAUGAAUGUCUUGAAACGGAGUAGUCGCCAGGCCUUUAGUAAAGAUAUCAGCAAACUGAGCAGAAGUAGGCACGUGGAGAACGCGAACUUGACCGAGAGCCACCUUCUCUCGAACAAAAUGAAUGUCGAUCUCAAUACGCUUGGUGCGACGGUGUUGAACUGGAUUCCCGGACAUGAGGACAGCUGAAAUAUUAUCACAGUAAACAAUGGUAGCUUGCUCAAUAGGACGGUGCAGCUCCGACAGCAACUGGCGCAACCAAACCAUAUCAGGAACCGCAUGAGCCACAGCGCGGUACUCAGCUUCAGUCGACGAGCGGGAGACCGUAACCUGCCUUUUUGAAGACCAAGAAACUAAAUUGUUACCAAGAAAAACACAAAAUCCUGAUGUGGACCUAUGAUUAUCUGGACAACCAGCCCGGUCUGCAUCUGAGUAAGCUGUCAAGGAGGUGGGAGAGGAUUUGUUGAUAUGAAGACCCAAGUCUAGUGUGCCUUUGAGAUACCGAAGAAUAUGUUUGACAUGAUUGUAGUGGGGAAUACGAGGAUCAUGCAUGUAUAAACAAGCUUGUUGGACAGCAAAAGAAAUUUCAGGACGAGUGAGAGUGAGAUACUGAAGUGCACCGGUAAGACUCCGAUAAAGAGAAGGAUCAGAGAAAGGAUCAUUGUCGGCAGAGAGUUUGGAACCUGUAUCAACAGGGGUACGGGAAGUUUGACAAUCAAGCAUACCAGCACGAGAAAGUAGAUCCAGAGUGUACUGACGGUGAGCCAAGCCGCACCUGACCUAACCUUAUUAUAAACCGAGUAGGAGUCAUAAUCCUAAUACAAGUUGUAUUCUAACAGAAGCGCAAGAACGACAGCGAGGCAGGACCUUCGCGGGUCAAGGAGGAGGAUGCAUGCCCCUCCAGUGUGGUCAACCGCUGUUCCAGCGACGAGAGUGACGUGUCCGACGAGAGUUACAUGUCCGCCGAAAUUGACGGGGACAACCUGUAGUGUUUCUAGUUUAAGUUUGCAUGUAGUAGUUGAGCUAUGUUUGUAGUUUGCAUGUUUAAACUUUGAAUGUGUGGAACUUUGGAUCGAAGUAUGAAAUAUGGUCGAAGAGUUUGAAUGUUUGUUUGGAAGAAAUGAGGUUUUGCUGUUUUGGGUGCCCUAUUUUAGGGGAGCUGUUGAAGACACUGAAUUUUCCAUGUCCUAAAAAGCACUUUUUAGUGCCCACAAAUUUAACCCACACACAUUUUGUUCAAUGGGUGGAGAAAGCUCCACCCAUUAUUCCCCUCCUCUGCAUGAACUAACAUCGGUUAAUGAUUACUUUUGGGGGGAAUGGGCGAGAUAGCAGAGAAUUUAUAUGCCAUUUCUUGCUGGAGUCAGUGGGACGGCGGACUGAUUAUUUAGUUGUCAGUUGUCCAAUGUGUAGUGUUUACAAUGAUGGUUAUGCAGAUUUUAGAUGAGUGUUUCAGCCGAUGAUUGUCUCACGAGUCUCCUCGAUUACCUGUUAUAGGGGUUUGGACACUGAAUUUUGUGUAGCUUCUCCCCCAGGUUUAUCUACACACAUAAUUGGGGAGAAGUGUAAAUUUGCGACCAGAUACUGUGAACUGUGGUCAGAAUUCUGAAGCAUAUUCUUCUCCCUGAUUGUAAAAGACCAAAACUUGUUGGUGAAUCAGUCAUCUGCUAGAUUGCUGCUGCCUGCUGCUACUAUGAACAGAGUGGAAAGACCCUAGGAGAGCACGAGCUUCUGUGUAUGCAUCAUUAAUCGACUUUUUUUAUGCGCAUGCUCCUCUUUAACUCAUUUGUAUGAAGUGCACAAUGGCAAUUAUUUCAGUUUUUCCUUGUUUGUAGUAAUCCAUCCUUUUAUAAUGGGGAAACACUUGUUAUCUGUAGUCUGGUAGAAAGACAACAUCAGACCCCUCCUUGUCCAUCGAUUCCAAUUCAAUCCCACGGUGGAGAAAUUAAGCACUGACCCUUGUUCCUAUAAUUCCUCUCAGCUGUUGCUAACUACCCGUACAUCACGCAUUAAUGAUCGCAUAUCCCUUAUCUCUCUCGUCUGCUCCAUCUCUCCUGCUCCCCUCCUUCGUCUCUCCCGCAUGCACGCUCCAGCUCGCCAUCAACAUCGCCGCUUCUAUCCUCUUCGAUUUCUCAGCCCAGAUUCAAUCUGCUGCACAUCGUGCGUCCUUCCCACCUCGUUUCCGGCCACAACAUCCACCACACGGCCCAGAUCCAAACCUAAACCCAUGCGUGAUCUGCUCCAUGAUGCAGCCACCAGUGAGCUCGCCUGUGCGACAUCCCUACAGCAGGUGCUUGUGCCCGCCAUCUCCAUCAUACAUCACAGGUUGGACGGAGGCUGUAGGUGUGCCCGACAUCUCAACCACCCCUCGAUCGGUGAACUAGCAGUGACCACCCUUGAUUGUUCUUCCCUUUUUAUUUCUAGAUUUGAAUCCAUUUUUACCAUUGAUUGAUGGUAAUUUAUUCAAAUUGAUUCCAUGUUUUUAUCUUGUUCUGCCUUGUUUUUAUGUGUGCAUAAAAAAAUAGAACCAAUCAAUUUGAAUGGAAUUGGUUUGCAAAUCACAAAAUGAUGCGCAUGCAUAUGUUGGCAGUAAGCGUUGUGAAUUUCUACUUUCAGUUUUUAUGCUUCCAUUCUUUUAUUGAAAUAACAUGAAAUUGGUGCUUUGAGAUAUCCAUGCUUCCUAAUCUGAUCUAUAUUUCUUCAGUUCAGGUACUUUACCGCAAUAUAGAACCAUGCUUCGAAAUGUUUAUUUUUAAGCAUCCAACGUUUCUGUACAUGUAUUUUGAUUUUCGAACCUUCUUUCUAGUACUUGUUGUUGCUUCCUACCUUCUAUUAUUAUGCAUCAUGCCUAAACUUAUUAUGCUUCAAAGGUACCUAUAGGUCGUCGACGCCAGCCAGGUGGGAUGCUAACCAGCAGGCAUGAGGAGCUCAAGGAUAGGGGGGCGCCAGCAGCAUGCAGACGAGUCACGAUGACAAGUAGAAGAAUCGGCAAUGGAAACUGAUGGCAAUGGCGACGAAAACUUUUGGCACGAUGAUAACUUAACUCAUGAUAAUGGUCGAUGGGCCUGCUUGCUUCCCAACACAUGGAAUAACAAGCGAUGCGGUUGCAUCGUCAAGCUCCGUGAAGCAAAUAGGAAGCAUAUAUGUAGCUUGGAAAUAGGAAACGACAUGGGCGGACGCUUGUCAAUGUUUAUGAAAGCAAACAAGAACCUAUUAGGAAGCAUAUGUGGCACAAUCAAUCAAAAGAAAUAUUUGUGAUUACCGAUCUCAUAAAAAAGGUUAUCCUUAUAAUUUGAGGUGUUUUCUUCAAGAAGCAAACUCACCGUAGGAAGGGAGAACAAUUAUAUUUCUCUAGAUGCACACUCCCUGUUCGGUUGAAGCAUGUGCGAUUGUGAUAGCGAAAAUAAGUGUGCUUUUGAUGGAAGCAAAUUCCUAUUACGUAUGAAGCAAUACUAUAGUUUCUGGAAACAAUAUUGUGAUCUUUUUUCACCAAAUUGAGCCGAAUCUAAUUCACCCUGGAAGCUAAUUGUCCAAUCGACAUAAACACGUACGAUUUCAUUGUUAUGGAAAGAAACAAAAAUGUUAGGGAGUAGAAUAAUUUGCAACAAAUUGAAAUACAUUGGAUACAAUGUUUUCUACGUGAAAACAGGGAUUAUUUUCCUAAAAUAGGGGGCUAAUUACUCGUCAAUCCCACAUUACUAGCGCUGGAUUAGUUACCAUAGAAAAUAAACGCAAUCAUCAUUGAUGCAGAAGCGGUCCCACCGAAUUAGUGAUCCAGUCAACCGGAUCUCUUGCCUGGACCAAGUAGCAGAUCCAACGUACGUGUUGCUUCCGAUCCAACCGCUAAUGAAUGGUCUGAUAGGAUGCAAUUAGCAGUAGUCUGAUGCCUAGCGGCGUCCUUUAUAAUGUCCCAUUUAUUAAGGAUUGUAAGGAAUUAACAAAGAAGUGUAACGGAGCGUCAGCAGAAUGGAGUAGCAUUCAAAUAGUGGACUUUGCCCAUGGCAGGAGCAUGAACAUUGUUCUUCUGCCUCCCAUUUGUUGUGUCAGCUCCCAUGCACGGGUGCUCCAAUCAAUAGCAGGGUAGACUACCGCAACCAACAAUCGCUACACAGGAGUAUCGCCCCCGGCAAUACCUAUUAACUGCGCAGGUCUCUGAGUAGCGACGUAUCGUGUACUGCCAUCGCAAGCUUCAAAGUUAAUAGGGGACGUUUUUUUCACCCUGUUCUGCACUGUGUUUGCAAAAGUUCUAGAACCUUUCGUGUCCAUUUUUUUUGUUUCCAUUCGGUUUUCUACAGCUUUUACUUUCCAUUUAUUUUAGAUUUCACAAACAAUUUUUAUUAUCAAGCAUUUUUGUAUUUCAUGAAAUUUGUGAAAUCGCAAUUUUUUUGAAAAUUUUCAACAUCUAAUAUUUCAUAAAUUUAUAAAUUUUUCAUCAAUUUAUGAAGAUUUUUUAGGAAUUUAAAAAUAUUUAAAUUUUGGGAGCCUUUUUUUUUCAAAAAUCAUGAACAUUUUGAAUUCAUGAACAUUAUUUUAUCCACCAAAAAAAUUCAAAUUCGCAAACAUUUCUGUAAUCCAUGAAUUUUUUUUGAUUUCAUAUACAUUUUUAUUUUGAAUUCAUGAACACUUUUUGCAAAGUCCUGAACAUUUUUUAUAUUCUCAAAAAUGUUUUGCAAAAUCAUGAACAUUUUUUAUCCUUGGAGAUUUUUUAACUGGCAGAGACUAUUGUCAAAAUCAUUAAAAACUUCAAAUUCGUGAACAUUUUGUCAAAUUCGGGAACUUUUUCUGAAUUAAUAAAUAAUUUCCAAAUUCAGAAUUUUUUGAAAAUUCAUGAAUAUUUUUUGAAUUCGUCUAUACUCUUUUUAUUAACAAGCAUGUAUUUUUUCUAAAAUUCAUGAAUAUAUUUUGAAUUUGUCUAUGUUUUAUUUUUAUUCAUAAGCAUGUAUGUUUAUAGUUUUUUGAAAAUAUCUUAAUACUAAACCAACCAAAUAAGAAACAACAGAAAGGAACCAUUGAAGAAAGUCUAUUUUAAGUACUAAUUGUUGAACUCUGUAGGUCGUCCAAUUUAGCGCACGNNNNNNNNNNNNNNNNNNNNNNNNNNNNNNNNNNNNNNNNNNNNNNNNNNNNNNNNNNNNNNNNNNNNNNNNNNNNNNNNNNNNNNNNNNNNNNNNNNNNNNNNNNNNNNNNNNNNNNNNNNNNNNNNNNNNNNNNNNNNNNNNNNNNNNNNNNNNNNNNNNNNNNNNNNNNNNNNNNNNNNNNNNNNNNNNNNNNNNNNNNNNNNNNNNNNNNNNNNNNNNNNNNNNNNNNNNNNNNNNNNNNNNNNNNNNNNNNNNNNNNNNNNNNNNNNNNNNNNNNNNNNNNNNNNNNNNNNNNNNNNNNNNNNNNNNNNNNNNNNNNNNNNGAGCUCUCAACCCCCAUUCCCAGUAAUGCACGUGGCACUUGCCCAUUAGCCUAAUAGAAUCGUGUUCAUGAAUAGGGAAGCCUCAGGUUGUGAUGGACUAUCUAUACAUGGUUUUAUUUAUAUCCGGAAAAGGAACCUCUACACAGUUCUAACCUGUUCCAUAAAAUUUCUCAACUGCGCAAGAAGGAAAAAAACAUGAAAAGCUUGGUCACUGCGAUGUCUUCGCAUUCAUGAAUUAAUUCUAGCCAUUCAUUAGUCAGUUGAUUGAUUAAUUGAUUGUCAUAGCAGCUUCCAGGUUUAGAUUUUGGGUCCUGAUAACGCCCACACGUGUGGCAUAUCAGACAUCCGUUCACACACCGUGUGUGGCGUGAACAGGAGGCAGCCCACACGGGCUGUGUGUGGGCCAACGUUAGAAUUGCCCACAUGUGUGAGCACAACUACUUCAUGUCAUACGCCCAACAAGUACUACUCAUCUCUAUCCCGCGUGUGUGGCACGAAGCAAAAAUGCCCACACGUCCUGGCGCAACUACGGUUGCCAUCCGGGAUGGUAGAUGUAGUUAUCCGGGAUGGCAAAUGUAGUUGUAAAAGCAUGUCAACUCUAUCUGUUUUGGUUAACUAUAGUUGUCAUGUCUAAUUUAUAAUAGUUGCCAUGUGUGUUUACCUAGUUGCCACGUCUGGUCCAACCAUAGUUGUCAUGUAUGGUUAAUCACAGUUACCAUGUGUGUUUAUCUGGUUGCCACGUAUGCGCAACUGCAGUUGCCGUCUAGCAACGAGUCAUAGUUUCCAUAUGGGUUUACCUAGUUGCCAAGUACGCGUAACUGCAGUUGCCAUCCAACAACGUACGAGUGUUGUGUGGGCGAAAAGCAGUUCGCCCACACACGAGUGGACUAGGUAGUGGCUGUGUGGCCAGAAACUAGUUCGUCCACACAGCGCAGCUGGCAAACCGCAUGCUGCGGGGCAUGUGGGCGAACUCUCCAACGCCCACACACCAGCCCCGUCCUACGUGGCACGCAAAUUCUGCCUCAAUGUGUCAAGAUUCGUGCAACUCGACUGGACGGUGAUCCACGCGUGUGGGCGACUUACAAAAUUGCCACACGUGUGGGCGUUGUCAUUUAGGUAGAUUUUUGACUUGAAUUUAGGGUGCGUAGUGUCCCCCUUCACUAUUAACACAGUUUUGUUGGGGAACGUACUAAUUUCAAAAAAUUUCCUACGCACACGCAAGAUCGUGGUGAUGCAUAGCAACGAGAGGGGAGAGUGUGUCCACGUACCCUUGUAGACCGAAAGCGGAAGCGUUAGCACAACGCGGUUGAUGUAGUCGUACGUCUUCACGAUCCGACCGAUCAAGUACCGAACGCACGGCACCUACGAGUUCAGCACACGUUCAGCCCGAUGACGUCCCUCGAACUCCGAACCAGCCGAGUGUUGAGGGAGAGUUUCGUCAGCACGACGGCGUGGUGACGAUGAUGAUGUUGUACCGACGCAGGGCUUCGCCUAAGCACCGCUACAGUAUUAUCGAGGUGGACUAUGGUGGAGGGGGGCACCGCACACGGCUAAAAGAUCAACAGAUCAAUUGUUGUGUCUCUAGGGUGCCCCUGCCCCCGUAUAUAAAGGAGCAAGGGGGGAGAGGCGGCCGGCCAGGAGGGGCGCGCCAGGAGGAGUCCUACUCCCACCGGGAGUAGGACUCCCUCCCUUUUCCUUGUUGGAUUAGGAGUGGAGAGGGGAGGAGAGAGAGGGGGAAAGGAAAGGGGGGGGGCGCCGCCCCCCCUCCUUGUCCAAUUCGGACUUGGGGGGGGGGGGAGGGGCUGCCCCUUGGCCGCCUCUCCUCUUCCACCAAUUGGGCCCAUGAAGCUCCCGGGGGUUCCGGUAAACCCCCGGUACUCCGGUAUAUAUCCGAUAACCCCCGGAACCACUACUAGGAAAAGGCCUACUAGUGGCGCACCAGGUUUUCCUACUAAUGGCGCAUUACUGGUGCGCCACUAGUACCACGCCACUAGUAUUUUUUACUAAUGGUGCACCACUGGUGCACCAUUAGUAUCUGGUACUAAUGGCGCACCACUGGUGCGCCAUUAGUAUAGGCCACGGUGCGCCAUUAGUAUUUUUGAAUUUUGAAGGCGGGAAAAUAGUAGUGGCGCACCGUCUAACCCCCACCGUGCGCCAUUGCUAUUUUUGAAUUUGGAUCUGGAUCGCGAAUUUUUUGCCCAUUUUUUGCUCGUUUUUUUUUCAAAUUUUGUUCUCGUUUUUGGAUCUUGUACGUUAUUUUGCCGUGUUCUUUUGCCGGAGAGGAGUUCGCCGGAGAGGAGGGCCGAGGUCACCGGAGAGGCGCUCGCCUACAUCGCCGGAGAGGAGGAGGAGGUCGCCCGAGAGGAGUUCACCGGAGCAUCGGAGAGGAGGAAGGAGAAACCAUGAGGGGAGGGGAGGAGAGGAGGGAGGAGGAGCUCACCGGAGAGGAGGGAGGAGGAGCUCACCGGAGAGGAGGGAGGAGAAACCGUGAGGGGAGGGGAGGAGAGGAGGGAGGAGGAGGUCGCCGGAGAGGAGAAGGAGGAGGAGGAGGUUGCCGGAGACGAGGAGGGUAGUAUGGUGGAGGAGAGAAGGGGAGAUGGAGUGGAGGAGAGGAGGAGAUGGAGUGGAGGAGAGGUGGAGUGGAGGAGAAGAAUGAAGAGGUAAGGAGGAGAGGACCACGCCCAGCCAUAUAUACGGCAUAGCGGCAUAGUAAUGGCGCACCGUGGGCAGGUGCGCCAUUACUAACUUUUUUUUUAUUUUUUUGAUUUAUUUUGAAUUUUGAAGGUGGGAAGAUAGUAAUGGCGCACCAUGGGCAGGUGCGCCAUUAGUAAGUUUGAAAUUUUUUUGAAUUUUUUUGCCUCUCCAGAUCUUAAAAGCCCCGUAUCUUUUUUUCUGUUAGGUUUUGAGGAUUUUGAAAGUGUUUAACAAGGUUCCCCCGAUUAAAUUCGGAUGUAUCUUUUCGAGUAGAUGAUUUUUCAUAUAAAAAACUUUUUCAUCCGAGUUCGUAUGCAAAAGUUAUGCCCAUUUUACAAAUUCUCGAGAGAUUUUGCAAAAAAGUCGAAAAUUCAUGUUUGUAAAUUUUGCUAACAACUAGACCACAUAUCACAUGGGAAUCUUAUUUUAUUUUAUUUUUUUUACAUUUCUAUCAUUUUCUUUUAUUUUUUUGAAACUGAAAAGGCGGUCCGGGGGUGCAUUCGGGGGAAUGUUUGGACCAAAUUACUAAUGGCGCACCGUGGGAGUGGUGCGCCAUUACUAGUUUAAAAAAUAAAAUAAAAUAAAUUUGAUUUUUUUUUUGAAACAUAACAAGUUUUGAAAAAAAAUUACUAAUGGCGUACCGUUCAUGUGGUGCGCCAUUAGUAUUUACACACUAAUGGCGCACCAACACAUGGUGCGCCAUUAGUGUCCAUAUUGGCUAUAGCUGUUUUCGUAGUAGUGAACCAUUCCGGUGUCCGAAUAUAGUCGUCCAAUAUAUCAAUAUUCAUGUCUCGACCAUUUCGAGACUCCUCGUCAUGUCCGUGAUCACAUCCGGGACUCAGAACUACCUUCGGUACAUCAAAACAUAUAAACUCAUAAUAUAACUGUCAUCGAAACUUUAAGCGUGCGGACCCUACGGGUUCGAGAACUAUGUAGACAUGACCGAGGCACGUCUCCGGCCAAUAACCAAUAGCGGAACCUGGAUGCUCAUAUUGGCUCCCACAUAUUCUACAAAGAUCUUUAUCGGUCAGACCGCAUAACAACAUACAUUGUUCCCUUUGUCAUCGGUAUGUUACUUGCCCUGGAUUCGAUCGUCGGUAUCUCAAUACCUAGCUCAAUCUCGUUACCGGCAAGUCUCUUUACUCGUUCUGUAAUACAUCAUCCCGCAACUAACUCAUUAGUUGCAAUGAUUUGCAAGGCUUAAGUGAUGUGCAUUACCGAGUGGGCCCAGAGAUACCUCUCCAACAAUCGGAGUGACAAAUCCUAAUAUCGAAAUAUGCCAACCCAACAAGUACCUUCGGAGACACCUGUAGAGCACCUUUAUAAUCACCCAGUUACGUUGUGACGUUUGGUAGCACACAAAGUGUUCCUCCGGUAAACGGGAGUUGCAUAAUCUCAUAGUCAUAGGAACAUGUAUAAGUCAUGAAGAAAGCAAUAGCAGAAUACUAAACGGUCGUGUGCUAAGCUAACGGAAUGGGUCAAGUCAAUCACAUCAUUCUCCUAAUGAUGUGAUCCCGUUAAUCAAAUGACAACUCAUGUCAAUGGCUAGGAAACAUAACCAUCUUUGAUCAACGAGCUAGUCAAGUAGAGGCAUACAAGUGACACUCUGUUUGUCUAUGUAUUCACACAAGUAUUAUGUUUCCGGUUAAUACAAUUCUAGCAUGAAUAAUAAACAUUUAUCAUGAUAUAAGGAAAUAAAUAAUAAUUUUAUUAUUGCCUCUAGCGCAUAUUUCCUUCAAGUUUGGGUUGUAGCUUCAAAUUUGAUGCUGAAUUGUUCCCUUUUUAGGCCAUUGGCGUCGAGUGGUUUUAUACGCUAUAUGUAUAUUCCCUUUCUAUAUUGGCCUGAUGAGGAUUAUAAUUUUGAUUAUGUAAAUGAAUGUUUCAUUUAUAUAUGCAAACGAAGCUGUAGUUCUUGUUGUUUAAAUAGUAAUUAUGAUAUUAUUUUGUGGUCAAGUACUUAUGAUACUUUUUUAACUAAUCAUCUCAUACGCUACUUGUGCAACAAUGCAGAAGUAUUAAGGCUUACUUUCAGGAUGGUGAACCGUGAUGUGUCAAAGUUACUUUAUAAUCCUUUGUGGAUACGGUAUUGCGGAACUAAAGAUGGGUUGGUUAAACAAACACUAGGAUGUGAAAAACUAGUUGGGUAAGGUAUAGUAUCAUAAUCAACUCAGAUGCCAUACAUUUACCAAGCUCAUCUUGUUUCUUUUACUAUUCUAUUUUCAUAAUAUACAACGGCAUCGACGGCUAACCUCCAACUCCCCUCCCGUUGAUCCCGGCACUGAAACAGGAGUUAUCCUAACCGAGCACUUCCCGUCAAGGGGUUCGGCUUAACGCCACUCAUGGUGUACCACUCUAUUGAUGAAAAUAGUUGAGUAUAUUGCAGUUAAGGGGUUUUGGGAUCCCAAAACUAAAUCUGUUUGUAUGUAUGUGCCACUUUUAUAUGUACAACAAGCCAUAUAAUAUUUUGUAUUAAUGGUCUAUAACUUAUUUCCAUUUUGCCUCCGAUACAAUUUUACAAUGAUCUCCUAGGACCAGUUAAAUUAGUCAAACAAAAAAUGUAUGCAUACACUUGAGCACUUGUUUCGUAAUUUACUUUGUUGCGAGCUCAACAUUUUAAAAAAACUGGUCCCCAAGUAAACUGCUAGAAAAUUUCAACUAAUUUGAGUUUAUCUUUAUUUUUAGGGAACAUAAAUUAGUAAGAUUAUCAUAUACCAGAUUCAGAUUAGAUUUAUUUACAAUGUGCUUGGGGAGGAAGAUGAGAAGACGUUGAUGUUGGUCGUGCCAUUGAUGGCGAUGGAAGCCAUGCGGAGGAGAUCAAGAGCAUUAACAACCUCUUGGCCCCGCUCGAUGUUGUUGCCGCCAUCAACAUCAACAACAUGGACCCUCUCGCGAGGCAGCUCCUGGAGCACCGGGGCUAGGGUUCUCUCUAGAAGAAGAACAUGCUGCUGACCAAGAUAUUGAACGCAGAUGAGAAGCACGACAACGACGGGGGGAGAAAAGACGGUUACCACCACGGGAGAAGAUGACUAUGACAAACCCAAGUGAUGUGCAUGAGAAUCAUAAGAUAUGUGUUAGUUUGUAACAUAUAAUUGUCUGGAUCAUUGCUCUCUAUGUUUACAUCAUCGAGUUACAUUGCAGUUGAAGUGAAUUCCAAUUUUUUUCCAAAAUUUUGCAGGUUAUCCUUUAUAUAUAUGAAAAAUAUGAUAUACAUUAUAUUCGCAAUCAGAACAAAUCUAUACAUGUGAAAUUUGAUAUGCAUUGUAUUCAUAGGUGUAAGCGGGAAAAAAAUGAAAAGCCUAUGGCAAUGCACGGGCGGGCGUUCUACUAGUAUCAAUUAAUGUGGUCCACCUACAGUCACAUAAUUCCUUAGAUAUUAGAUAUAGCAAAUUCUUUAUUGAUAAUAAUAUCAUUAAUAAAUGCAUGAUUCUAUAUCCAGCUAUCUAUCUGCAGAAUAAAGACACAAGAUUUCAUUAAUAAAUGGAGCAUUGUAUAUCUCCCUACCUCUGCACACAGAAUAAAUUGGUCAAAAAAAAAUCUAUGCCACAAAUGAUGCUUAUCUACAGAAAAUAGUGUUGCGGAAAGAACCAAACCUGUAACAUUAAAUUAGGUCGACCUACAAUCACAUAGAGUAUUUCUUUAGAUUUUUGGUACACAUAAUUCUUUCUUGAUAAAACUUAACAUUAAUAAAUGGAGAUUGUAUAUCCAACUAUCUAUAUGUGCUAUCUAUAUGCAGAAUAAAGAAACAGAUUUCACUAAUAAAUGGAGCAUUGUAUAUCUCCCUACCUAUGCACACAAAAUAAAUUGAUUGAAGACAAAAAUCAAUGACAGGAAUGAGUCUUAUCUGGGGAAAAUAUUGUGGCAGAAAGAUAGGAACCUAGGACAUUGAAUCAGGUCCACUUACGAUCAUUAAUUAAUGGAGGAUUAUAUAUAUCCAAUAAUAUAUAUGAAAGAAAAAAUAUUUCAUUAAUAAAUUGAACAUUGUAUAUCUCCCUACCCAUGCACACACAAUAAAUUGACCGAAGAAACAAAAUCUAUGACACUAAUGAGGUCCACUUACAAUCUUGAACUAGCACUAUGCAUAUCUUUUCGACUUAAAUGCUAGCAAUUAAUUGUUGCUCACCGCACCAUCUAUAUAAUCCUACUAUCUGGAUGCCCCCAAGCAACAAUUUCAACUUAUUGUGAGUUAAUACUUUCAUAGACAUGGAGCACUUUUGUUUCUUGGUCAUCCUCUCACUCUCUGGCUUGGCUGUGGCCUUGCAGCUGACCACUCCGUGCAACGCUGCGCAAGCUCAGCCACCACCAGUCUACGACAUAGAUGGCCACGAGCUAACAGGUAACAACAUGUACACCAUCAUGGCAGCAGAUCGCAAUCUGAGCGACCAUUGUAUCUCCGUUGGCUCAUUUCGGAGUGAGGAAUGUCAUAAGCAUGCGACCCUGACACCGUGCAAGCAAUUUGGCGGGAUGAGAGGCGUGCAUGUGUCGAUCAAGCCGGCGGAGGCGAGCGAUGGCUCUAGCAAGGAGGCGUCAAUCCGCCUCUCGACCGAUGUCGUGAUCGAAUUUAAAGGCGUGGUCACCUGGUGCAAGCACCAUCUCCGGUGGUACGUCCAUGGAGAGAACACGAACCAGACGCAUGUGUCCGCCAGCUGCUUCAGAGGGAUGAACGGAUGCCAACCGUCGGCAGGCACAUGCAUGGAACAAAGUUUCCUAUUCCGCGUCGAGAGGCAUGGCACCGGGUACAAGCUGACAUCGUGCUUCAAUGCGCCAUGCCGCGAUCUUGUGUUGUUCGACUACGCCGGCCAAAGGUGGCUGACCGUAAAGAAAGAUGGGCGUGAGCCUCUGGUGGUCGUGUUCAAGAAGUUCCCUCUCGCCAGCUUGCCACCUGCGAGUGCUCCCCAACUAGGCUAGUGUGUAUGCUACUAUGUAUGUGUACUUGCUUGAGCGUUCGAUGCAAGGAAUAAUUUCUAGUACAAGCAUGGAACUGUCCUAUUUUGCUGGUCACUGUUCGAUGCGACAAGGGGCGGCCGACGGACGGAACUCUGUUGUAGCAGGCGGCAGCUCGCUCAAGUUAACACACACUUCUCUCUGUGUGUGUGUGUGUGUGUGUGUGUGUCUGUGUGUGUGUGUUUCGAGAGAAAACUAUGGGAAAGUGAAGACAUGUAGGAUUGCGAUCCAACGGUUACAAUUACACAGGGUUGCAUCGGACGGCCGUGCGGUGAUCGGCCAAAAUUUGGAACGGUCGACUGACUUCUAGUGUUCACCUUUUCACUUUCUCUUUGAUUUGUUUGCUCUGUUUGUGGCGUGUUGCCCAUUGUCCACAUGGCUCCAAGAGAGUUAAGCUGCCAUCGUUGGUCAUGCUAUCUAGGCGACGCAGAGGGCACGGCGCAAGGCCCAGGUGCAGCGCCCCUAAUCCAUGUUCGUUUCCAUGUCCCUGGUGCUGGUGAGCUGCUCUGCCAACGCCCCACCGUUGGCUGUUCAUGGAGGAGCCGACCGUUGGCUGCGGUGCUUCUCCUCCUCCUCAUAAGCGAGUCUUCCUUUUCCUUUCCCUCUUCCAUCUACCCCUUCCUCAUCGCCUAUGCCAUUGGUUGAUCUGCUCUCUUCACUGUUCUCUACUCAGAUCAGCCAUGGCAGAUACUACUCUUACCCCAUCAAGGAGAGCUUCAGUUGGGACUCGCGCUCAAGCACAAUGGCAUGAACAGGAACCCCUUCCGCUCCUAUCGAGCAUAUCCAAUAGCUGAUCCAAACUGGGGAACUGCCCCUUUUUAGGGCAAUUGAGGCAAAACAAAACCCUCCAGCAGCUGCCCUCUCACAAAAAUUUGCUCAAAACUUUUUGGGCUGCCCUAAAAUACAGCAGACGGUGCUGCAAAUAUACAGCACUGUGGGCGACUGCCGUAAAAUAAAAUGGCUCGUAACCAAGCUUCAAAAUAUCGGAUAUCGGGUUCCUAUCGGUUUGGCUUCGACAUAUCGGAUAUUGAAUAUCGGGUGAUAUAUCGGACGAUAUAUAGAUAUAUCGGAGAAACCAAGUCUAGUUUUUUUUCAUUAUUCUUGUUCAAAACAUUAACUUUUAGUAAAUGAAAAUGUAUGAUCUCAAUGCUUUAACAUAACACUUUUAGAUUCCUAGUUUAGUAACUUGUUGAUAUAGAAACUAAUAAGGAAGGACUCACAAAAUCCUUACUCUAUGAUUAAAAACAAUAACAUAUAUAUGAAGGAAAUAUGCCCUAGAGGCAAUAAUAAAGUUAUUAUUUAUUUCGUUAUAUCAUGGUAAAUGUUUAUUAUUCAUUCUUUGUGUGCUACCAAACGUUAGCUUAGCACUUGAUCGUUUAGUAUUCUGCUAUUGCUUUCUUCAUGACUUAUACAUGUUCCUAUGACUAUGAGAUUAUGCAACACCCGUUUACCGGAGGAACACUUUGUGUGCUACCAAACGUCACAACGUAAAUGGGUGAAUAUAAAGGUGCUGUACAGGUGUCUCCAAAGGUACUUGUUGGGUUGGUGUAUUUCGAGAUUAGGAUUUGUCACUCCGAUUGUCGGAGAGGUAUCUCUGGGCCCACUCGGUAAUGCACAUCACUAUAAGCCUGGCAAGCAUUGUAACUAAUGAGUUAGUUGCGGGAUGACGUAUUACGGAACGAGUAAAGAGACUUGCUGGUAACGAGAUUGAACUAGGUAUUGAGAUACCGACGAUCGAAUCUCGGGCAAGUAACAUACCGAUGACAAAGGGAACAACGUAUGUUGUUAUGCGGUUUGACCGAUAAAGAUCUUCGUAGAAUAUGUGGGAGCCAAUAUGAUCAUCCAGGUUCGGCUAUUGGUUAUUGACCGGAGACGUGUCUCGGUCAUGUCUACAUUGUUCUCGAACACGUAGGGUCCGCACGUUUAAAGUUCGAUGACGGUUAUAUUAUGAGUUCGGAGUCCCGGAUGAGAUCGGGGACAUGACGAGGAGUCUCGAAAUGGUCUAGACGUAAAGAUCGAUAUAUUGGACGACUAUAUUCGGACAUCGGAAAGGUUCCGAGUGAUUCGGAUAUUUUUCGGAGUACGGAGUAUAUGGGCCUUAUUGGGCUUUAGGGGAAAGAGAGAGGAGAGGCUGGGCACCCCCCCAAGCCCUAGUCCGAAUUGGACUAGGGGGAGGGGCUGCGCCCCCUCCUUCCUUCUCUUCUCUCUCCCCUUUCCUUGACUCCUACUCCUACUACUUGGAAGGGGGGAUCCUACUCCCGAUGGGAGUAGGACUCCUCCUAGGGCACGCCAUAGAGAGGGCCGGCCCUCCCCCUCCUCCACUCCUUUAUAUACGGGGAGGGGGGCACUCCUUGGAGACACAACAAUUGAUCAUUGAUCUUUUAGCCGUGUGCGGUGCCCCCCUCCACCAUAGUCCACCUCGAUAAUAUCAUAGCGGUGCUUAGGCGAAGCCCUGCAUCGAUAGAACAUCAUCAUCGUCACCACGCCGUCGUGCUGACGAAACUCUCCCUCAACACUCGGCUGGAUCGGAGUUCGAGGGACGUCAUCGGGCUGAACGUGUGCUGAACUCGGAGGUGCCGUGCGUUCGGUACUUCAUCGGUCGGAUCGUGAAGACGUACGACUACAUCAACCGCGUUGUGCUAACGCUUCUGCUUUUGGUCUACGAGGGUACGUGGACACACUCUCCCCUCUGGUUGCUAUGCAUCACGAUGAUCUUGCGUGUGCGUAGGAAUUUUUUUGAAAUUACUACGUUUCCCUACAGUGGCAUCCGAGCCUGGUUUUAUGCGUAGAUGUUAUAUGCACGAGUAGAACACAAGUGAGUUGUGGGCGAUAUAAGUCAUACUGCUUACCAGCAUGUCAUACUUCGGUUCGGCGGUAUUGUUGGAUGAAGCGGCCCAGACCGACAUUACGCCUACGCUUACGCUUACGCGAGACUGGUUCUACCGACGUGCUUUGCACACAGGUGGCUGGCGGGUGUCAGUUUCUCCAACUUUAGUUGAACCGAGUGUGGCUACGCCCGGUCCUUGAGAAGGUUAAAACAUCACCAACUUGACAAACUAUCAUUGUGGUUUGAUGCGUAGGUAAGAACUGUUCUUGCUCAGCCCGUAGCAGCCACGUAAAACUUGCAACAACAAAGUAGAGGACGUCUAACUUGUUUUUGCAGGGCAUGUUGUGAUGUGAUAUGGUCAAGGCAUGAUGCUAUAUUUUAUUGUAUGAGCUGAUCAUGUUUUGUAACCGAGUUAUCGACAACUGGCAGGAGCCAUAUGGUUGUCGCUUUAUUGUAUGCAAUGCAAACGCCCUGUAAUGCUUUACUUUAUCACUAAGCGGUAGCGAUAGUCGUAGAAGCAUAAGUUGGCGAGACGACAACGAUGCUACGAUGGAGAUCAAGGUGUCGCGCCGGUGACGAUGGUGAUCAUGACGGUGCUUCAGAGAUGGAGAUAACAAGCACAAGAUGAUGAUGACCAUAUCAUAUCACUUAUAUUGAUUGCAUGUGAUGUUUAUCUUUUAUGCAUCUUAUUCUGCUUAGAUCGACGGUAGCAUUAUAGGAUGAUCUCUCACUAAAUUAUCAAGGUAUAAGUGUUCUCUCUGAGGAUGCACCGUUGCGAAAGUUCUUCGUGCUGAGACACCACGUGAUGAUCGGGUGUGAUAGGAUCUACGUUCAAAUACAACGGGUGCGAAACAGUUGCACACGCGGAAUACUCAGGUUAAACUUGACGAGCCUAGCAUAUAACAGAUAUGGCCUCGGAACACUGAGACCGAAAGGUCGAGCGUGAAUCAUAUAGUAGAUAUGAUCAACAUAGUGAUGUUCACCAUUGAAACUACUCCAUCUCACGUGAUGAUCGGACAUGGUUUAGUUGAUUUGGAUCACGUGAUCACUUAGAAGGUUUAGAUAGAUGUCUAUCUAAGUGGGAGUUCUUAAGUAAUAUGAUUAAUUGAACUUUAAUUUAUCAUGAACUUAGUCCUGGUAGUAUUAGCAUAUCUAUGUUGUAGAUCAAUAGCUCGCGUUUAGUUCCCCUGUUUUAUUUUUGAUAUGUUCCUAGAGAAAACUAAGUUGAAAGAUGUUAGUAGCAAUGAUGCGCAUUGGAUCCGUGAUCUGAGAAUUAUCCUCAUUGCCGCACAGAAGAAUUAUGUCCUUGAUGCACCGCUAGGUGACAGACAUAUUGCAGGAGCAGAUGCAGACGUUAUGAACGUUGGAGAAAGCUCGGUAUGAUAACUACUUGAUAGUUUAGUGCACCAUGCUUUACGGCUUAGAACCGGGACUUCAAAAAUGUUUUGAACACCACGGAGCAUAUAAGAUGUUCCAAGAGUUGAAAUUGGUAUUUCAUACUCAUGCCCGUGUCGAGAGGUAUGAGACCUCUGACAGUACUUUGCCUACAAGAUGGAGGAGAAUUGCUCAGCUAGUGAGCAUGUGCUCAGAAUGUCUGAGUACUACAAUCACUUGAAUCAAGUGGGAGUUAAUCUUCCAGAUAAGAUAGUGAUUGACAGAGUUCUCUAGUCACUAUCACCAAGUUACUAGAACUUCGUGAUGAACUAUAAUAUGCAAGGGAUAAACGGAAACGAUUCCCAAGCUCUUCGUGAUGCUGAAAUCGACGAAGGUAGAAAUCAAGAAAAGCAUCAAGUGUUAAUGGUUGACAAGACCACUCGUUUCAAGAAAAGGGCAAAGGGAAGAAGGGGAACUUCAAGAAGAACGGCAAGCAAGUUGCUACUCAAGUGAAGAAGCCCAAGUCUGGACCUAAGCCUGAGACUAAGUGCUUCUACUGCAAAGGGACUGGUCACUGGAAGCGGAACUGCCCCAAGUAUUUGGCGGAUAAGAAGGAUGGCAAAGUGAACAAAGGUAUAUUUGAUAUACAUGUUAUUAAUGUGUACUUUACUAGUGUUUAUAGCAACCCCUCAGUAUUUGAUACUAGUUCAGUUGCUAAGAUUAGUAACUCGAAAUGGGAGUUGCAGAAUGAACAGAGACUAGUUAAGGGUGAAGUGACGAUGUGUGUUGGAAGUGGUUCCAAGAUUGAUAUGAUCAUCAUCGCACACUCCCUAUACUUUCGAGAUUAGUGUUGAACCUAAAUAAGUGUUAUUUGGUGUUUACGUUGAGCAUGAAUACGAUUUGAUCAUGUUUAUUGCAACACGGUUAUUCAUUUAAUUUAGAGAAUAAUUGUUGUUGUGUUUACAUGAAUAAAACCUUCUAUGGUCAUACACCCAAUGAAAAUGGUUUGUUGGAUCUCGAUCGUAGUGAUACACAUAUUCAUAAUAUUGAAGCCAAAAGAUGCAAAGUUAAUAAUGAUAGUGCAACUUAUUUGUGGCACUGCCGUUUAAGUCAUAUUAGAGUAAAGCGCAUGAAGAAACUCCAUGCUGAUGGGAUUUUGGAAUCACUUGGUUAUGAAUCACUUGAUGCUUGCGAGCCAUGCCUUAUGGGCAAGAUGAAUAAAACUCCGUUCUCCGGAACAAUGGAGCGAGCAACUGACUUAUAUGAAAUAAUACAUACUGAUGUAUGCGAUCCGAUGAGUGUUGAGGCUCGCGGCGGGUAUCAUUAUUUUCUGACCUUCACAGAUGAUUUGAGCAGAUAUGGGUAUAUCUACUUGAUGAAACAUAAGUCUGAAACAUUUGAAAAGUUAAUAUAAUUUCAGAGUGAAGUAGAAAAUCAUCGUAACAAGAAAAUAAAGUUUCUACGAUCUGAUCGUGGAUGAAAAUAUUUGAGUUACGAGUUUGGCCUUCAAUUAAAACAAUGUGGAAUAGUUUCACAAACUCAUGCCACCUGGAACACCACAGGAUAAUGGUGUGUCCGAACGUCAUAACUGUACUUUAGUGAAUAUAGUACAAUCUAUGAUGUCUCUUACCGAUUUACCACUAUCUUUUUGGGGUUAUGCAUUAGAGACAGCUCCAUUCACGUUAAAAGUUCACCAUCUAAAUCCAUUGAGAUGACACCAUAUGAACUGUGGUUUGGCAAGAAACCAAAGUUGUCAUUUCUUAAAGUUUGGGGUUGCGAUGCUUAUGUGAAAAAGUUUCAUCCUGAUAAGCUCAAACCCAAAUUGGAGAAAUGUGUCUUCAUAAGAUACCCAAAGGAGACAGUUGGGUACACGUUCUAUCACAGAUCCGAAGGCAAGACAUUCGUUGCUAAGAAUGGAUCCUUUCUAGAGAAGGAGUUUCUCUCGAAAGAAGUGAGAGGUAGGAAACUAGAACUUGAUGAGGUAACUGUACCUGCUCCCUUAUUGGAAAGUAGUUCAUCGCAGAAAUCUGUUCCUGUGACUACUACACCAAUUAGUGAGGAAGCUAAUAAUGAUGAUCAUGUAACUUGAGAUAAAGUUACUACCGAACCUCGUAGGUAAACCAGAGUGAGAUCCGCACCAGAGUGGUACGGUAAUCCUGUUCUGAAGGUCAUGUUACUUGACCAUGACGAACCUACGAACUAUGAGGAAGCGAUGAUGAGCCCAGAUUCCGCGAAAUGGCUUGAGGCCAUGAAAUCUGAGAUGGGAUCCAUGUAUGAGAACAAAGUGUGGACUUUGGUUGACUUGCCCGAUGAUCGGCAAGCCAUGAAAAUAAAUGGAUCUUCAAGAGGAAGAUGGACGCUGAUAGUAGUGUUACUAUCUACAAAGCUAGACUUGUCGAAAAAGGUUUUGACAAAGUUCAAGGUGUUGAAUAUGAUGAGAUUUUCUCACUCGUAGCGAUGCUUAAGUCUGUCUAAAUCAUGUUAGCAAUUGCCGCAUUUUAUGAAAUUUGGCAAAUGGAUGUCAAAAUUGCAUUCCUUAAUGGAUUUCUUAAAGAAGAGUUGUAUAUGAUGCAACCAGAAGGUUUUGUCAAUCCAAAAGAUGCUAACAAAGUGUGUAAGCACCAGUGAUCCAUUUAUGGACGGGUACAAGCAUCUCGGAGUUGGAAUGUACGUUUUGAUAGUGUGAUCAAAGCAUAUAGUUUUAUACAGACUUGCGGUGAAACCUGUAUUUACAAGAAAGUGAGUGGGAGCACUACAGCCUUUCUGAUAAGUAUAUGUGAAUGACAUAUUGUUGAUCGGAAAUGAUGUAGAAUUUUUUGGAAAGCAUAAAGGAGUAUUUGAAAGGAGUUUUUUCAAAGAAAGACCUCAGUGAAGCUGCUUACAUAUUGAGCAUCAAGAUCUAUAGAGAUAGAUCAAGACGCUUGAUAAGUUUUUUCAAUGGGUACAUACCUUGCCAAGAUUUUGAAGUAGUUCAAAAUGGAACAGUCAAAGAAAGAGUUCUUGCCUAUGUUACAAGGUAUGAAAUUGAGUAAGAUUCAAAGCCCGACCAGACAGAAGAUAGAAAGAGAAUGAAAGUCAUUCCCUAUGCCUUGGCCAUAGGUUCUAUAAAGUGUGCCAUGCUGUGUACCAAAUCUAUUGUAUACCCUACACUGAUUUUGGCAAGGGAGUAUAAUAGUGAUCUAGGAGUAGAUCACUGAACAGCGGUCAAAAUUAUCCUUAGUGGAAUAAGGAUAUAUUUCUUGAUUAUCACUAGUAGAAAACAGGGCAUUGGUUCGACCCUCGUAAUACCAUUAAUCCCGGUUCGCUCACGAACCGGGACCAAAGGAGACAACUGUCCUGGUUCGUGAGCCCAGGGGACCGGCCGGGCCACGUGGGCCAUUGGUCCCGGUUCGUCUGGACCUUUUGGUCCCGGUUCCACGCACGAACCGAGACCAAUGCGCCUCGCCCCUGGCCCAUGACCAUUAGUCCCGGUUUGUGCCACAAACCGGGACUAAAGGGUUGGUCCUCGUUGCGGUCAGAGUUCAGUCCCACCUCGCCAACCGAAGGGCGCUCACACCGGUUUAUAAGCCCGCCCCUCUCUGCCUUGUUGAGCUCCUCUCAAAGUGAAAAUAGAUGCCCUUAUACAGGGAAUUUGACCUAAAUUCAGAGUAAAUUUCUUUGAAAUUCAUAGAAUUUAUUAUGAAUUUAGGUUGAAUUCUCUCUAUAGGCACAUCUAUGCUCAUUUUUUAUGUUGGGGUUGGCGAUCUUUACAGACUUUUUGUGUGUUGAAUAUGCACCAUUCAAAAUCAGUCUUUGCUUUCAAUGGUUCUUUUUGAACACACAAAAAGUCUGGAGUUCAAAUAAGUUCAAGAAAAUGAAAUCCCUUUGUAACAGAUGAGUUUUCGUCCGAAACCCUGAUACUUCGAAAGAGAUUGUCCAUUUUCUUCACGAAGUGCAUCCAGCUUUUGCCGUAACCCUCUCAACUUUUUAGCACAUGCUAUGUGGGUGAAAUGAUGAUACCAUGCCAACUUUCAACCUUUUCAGAGCUCAUUUGUAAGGCUUUUCAAUUUCAGGGUCAUUUAGCUCAAAACAAUCCGUCACUGCAUGAAAAAUAGCAAAAGUCAGAAAGGGUUGAAAAUUGAUGAUGUGGCUUUGAAUGGUGCAUUUUGAACACACAAAAAUUCUGGANNNNNNNNNNNNNNNNNNNNNNNNNNNNNNNNNNNNNNNNNNNNNNNNNNNNNNNNNNNNNNNNNNNNNNNNNNNNNNNNNNNNNNNNNNNNNNNNNNNNNNNNNNNNNNNNNNNNNNNNNNNNNNNNNNNNNNNNNNNNNNNNNNNNNNNNNNNNNNNNNNNNNNNNNNNNNNNNNNNNNNNNNNNNNNNNNNNNNNNNNNNNNNNNNNNNNNNNNNNNNNNNNNNNNNNNNNNNNNNNNNNNNNNNNNNNNNNNNNNNNNNNNNNNNNNNNNNNNNNNNNNNNNNNNNNNNNNNNNNNNNNNNNNNNNNNNNNNNNNNNNNNNNNNNNNNNNNNNNNNNNNNNNNNNNNNNNNNNNNNNNNNNNNNNNNNNNNNNNNNNNNNNNNNNNNNNNNNNNNNNNNNNNNNNNNNNNNNNNNNNNNNNNNNNNNNNNNNNNNNNNNNNNNNNNNNNNNNNNNNNNNNNNNNNNNNNNNNNNNNNNNNNNNNNNNNNNNNNNNNNNNNNNNNNNNNNNNNNNNNNNNNNNNNNNNNNNNNNNNNNNNNNNNNNNNNNNNNNNNNNNNNNNNNNNNNNNNNNNNNNNNNNNNNNNNNNNNNNNNNNNNNNNNNNNNNNNNNNNNNNNNNNNNNNNNNNNNNNNNNNNNNNNNNNNNNNNNNNNNNNNNNNNNNNNNNNNNNNNNNNNNNNNNNNNNNNNNNNNNNNNNNNNNNNNNNNNNNNNNNNNNNNNNNNNNNNNNNNNNNNNNNNNNNNUUUCUAUUCAAAACAUUAUAAGAAACCUCUAGUAUUAUUGAAACUAAAAUUAUAUAAAAUUGAUGCAACUAAAAUUACCGAAGUAUUUUCUGUUCAAAAUCAUUAAAAGCAAAAAGAAUUUUCAUAAAGAACUUUUUUUGUUAGAAACUUUAAUAGCAAAAAGAAUUAUCAUAAAGUAAAAUAAAUAAGUAAUUAGAAACAAAAUAAAAUAAAAUAAAUAAGUUUUUUGUUGUAAGUAGAAACAAAACAAACUAAAUAAAGCAAAAAAGAAAACAAAAAUUAGGUAAAAAAUAAAAAAUAUGCCACCUACUGGGCCACCACGGCCUGAAUACGACUAGAAACCCAUCGAUGGGCCAGGAUUCAGGCCCGCACAAGGCCCAGUAAGCCCAUCAGGCAUAGCAGUGACAAUUAGGCCCGUAAGCCUGCAAUGGAGAGUAGCUAGAGAGGGGUGCGGCAGUGGGGCUUAUAAACCACUGCGCGCCCCUCUCAACUAGCGAGGUGGGACUAAACUUUCGACGCAGGCGCAACAGCACAAGGCCUUUGGUCCCGGUUGGUGGCACCAACCGAGACUAAAGGUGUGCAUUGGUACCGGUUCGUGGCACUAACCGGUACCAAUGCCCCCCCUCUUUAGUCCCGGUUGCUGACACCAACCGGGACCAAAGGCCGCCGCUUCCCGCCAUUUGGGGGGGGGAGGGGCUGCCCCUUGGCCGCCUCUCCUCUUCCACCAAUUGGGCCCAUGAAGCUCCCGGGGGUUCCGGUAAACCCCCGGUACUCCGGUAUAUAUCCGAUAACCCCCGGAACCACUACUAGGAAAAGGCCUACUAGUGGCGCACCAGUUUUUCCUACUAAUGGCGCAUUACUGGUGCGCCACUAGUACCACGCCACUAGUAUUUUUUACUAAUGGCGCACCACUGGUGCACCAUUAGUAUCUGGUACUAAUGGCGCACCACUGGUGCGCCAUUAGUAUAGGCCACGGUGCGCCAUUAGUAUUUUUGAAUUUUGAAGGCGGGAAAAUAGUAGUGGCGCACCGUCUAACCCCCACCGUGCGCCAUUGCUAUUUUUGAAUUUGGAUCUGGAUCGCGAAUUUUUUGCCCAUUUUUUGCUCUUUUUUUUUCAAAUUUUGUUCUCGUUUUUGGAUCUUGUACGUUAUUUUGCCGUGUUCUUUUGCCGGAGAGGAGUUCGCCGGAGAGGAGGGCCGAGGUCACCGGAGAGGCGCUCGCCUACAUCGCCGGAGAGGAGGAGGAGGUCGCCGGAGAGGAGUUCACCGGAGCAUCGGAGAGGAGGAAGGAGAAACCAUGAGGGGAGGGGAGGAGAGGAGGGAGGAGGAGCUCACCGGAGAGGAGGGAGGAGGAGCUCACCGGAGAGGAGGGAGGAGAAACCGUGAGGGGAGGGGAGGAGAGGAGGGAGGAGGAGGUCGCCGGAGAGGAGAAGGAGGAGGAGGAGGUUGCCGGAGACGAGGAGGGUAGUAUGGUGGAGGAGAGAAGGGGAGAUGGAGUGGAGGAGAGGAGGAGAUGGAGUGGAGGAGAGGUGGAGUGGAGGAGAAGAAUGAAGAGGUAAGGAGGAGAGGACCACGCCCAGCCAUAUAUACGGCAUAGCGGCAUAGUAAUGGCGCACCGUGGGCAGGUGCGCCAUUACUAACUUUUUUUUUGAUUUAUUUUGAAUUUUGAAGGUGGGAAGAUAGUAAUGGCGCACCAUGGGCAGGUGCGCCAUUAGUAAGUUUGAAUUUUUUUUGAAUUUUUUUGCCUCUCCAGAUCUUAAAAGCCCCGUAUCUUUUUUUCAUAUAAAAAACUUUUUCAUCCGAGUUCGUAUGCAAAAGUUAUGCCCAUUUUAUAAAUUCUCGAGAGAUUUUGCAAAAAAGUCGAAAAUUCAUGUUUGUAAAUUUUGCUAACAACUAGACCACAUAUCACAUGGGAAUCUUAUUUUAUUUUAUUUUUUUGACAUUUCUAUCAUUUUCUUUUAUUUUUUUUGAAACUGAAAAGGCGGUCCGGGGGUGCAUUCGGGGGAAUGUUUGGACCAAAUUACUAAUGGCGCACCGUGGGAGUGGUGCGCCAUUACUAGUUUAAAAAAUAAAAUAAAAUAAAUUUGAAUUUUUUUUGAAACAUAACAAGUUUUGAAAAAAAAUUACUAAUGGCGCACCGUUCAUGUGGUGCGCCAUUAGUAUUUACACACUAAUGGCGCACCAACACAUGAUGCGCCAUUAGUGUCCAUAUUGGCUAUAGCUGUUUUCGUAGUAGUUAACCAUUCCGGUGUCCGAAUAUAGUCGUCCAAUAUAUCAAUAUUCAUGUCUCGAACAUUUUGAGACUCCUCGUCAUGUCCGUGAUCACAUCCGGGACUCAGAACUACCUUCGGUACAUCAAAACAUAUAAACUCAUAAUAUAACUGUCAUCGAAACUUUAAGCGUGCGGACCCUACGGGUUCGAGAACUAUGUAGACAUGACCGAGGCACGUCUCCGGCCAAUAACCAAUAGCGGAACCUGGAUGCUCAUAUUGGCUCCCACAUAUUCUACAAAGAUCUUUAUCGGUCAGACCGCAUAACAACAUACAUUGUUCCCUUUGUCAUCGGUAUGUUACUUGCCCUGGAUUCGAUCGUCGGUAUCUCAAUACCUAGCUCAAUCUCGUUACCGGCAAGUCUCUUUACUCGUUCUGUAAUACAUCAUCCCGCAACUAACUCAUUAGUUGCAAUGAUUUGCAAGGCUUAAGUGAUGUGCAUUACCGAGUGGGCCCAGAGAUACCUCUCCGACAAUCGGAGUGACAAAUCCUAAUAUCGAAAUAUGCCAACCCAACAAGUACCUUCGGAGACACCUGUAGAGCACCUUUAUAAUCACCCAGUUACGUUGUGACGUUUGGUAGCACACAAAGUGUUCCUCCGGUAAACGGGAGUUGCAUAAUCUCAUAGUCAUAGGAACAUGUAUAAGUCAUGAAGAAAGCAAUAGCAGAAUACUAAACGGUCGUGUGCUAAGCUAACGGAAUGGGUCAAGUCAAUCACAUCAUUCUCCUAAUGAUGUGAUCCCGUUAAUCAAAUGACAACUCAUGUCAAUGGCUAGGAAACAUAACCAUCUUUGAUCAACGAGCUAGUCAAGUAGAGGCAUACUAGUGACACUCUGUUUGUCUAUGUAUUCACACAAGUAUUAUGUUUUCGGUUAAUACAAAUCUAGCAUGAAUAAUAAACAUUUAUCAUGAUAUAAGGAAAUAAAUAAUAAUUUUAUUAUUGCCUCUAGCGCAUAUUUCCUUCAAGUUUGGGUUGUAGCUUCAAAUUUGAUGCUGAAUUGUUCCCUUUUUAGGCCAUUGGCGUCGAGUGGUUUUAUACGCUAUAUGUAUAUUCCCUUUCUAUAUUGGCCUGAUGAGGAUUAUAAUUUUGAUUAUGUAAAUGAAUGUUUCAUUUAUAUAUGCAAACGAAGCUGUAGUUCUUGUUGUUUAAAUAGUAAUUAUGAUAUUAUUUUGUGGUCAAGUACUUAUGAUACUUUUUUAACUAAUCAUCUCAUACGCUACUUGUGCAACAAUGCAGAAGUAUUAAGGCUUACUUUCAGGAUGGUGAACCGUGAUGUGUCAAAGUUACUUUAUAAUCCUUUGUGGAUACGGUAUUGCGGAACUAAAGAUGGGUUGGUUAAACAAACACUAGGAUGUGAAAAACUAGUUGGGUAAGGUAUAGUAUCAUAAUCAACUCAGAUGCCAUACAUUUACCAAGCUCAUCUUGUUUCUUUUACUAUUCUAUUUUCAUAAUAUACAACGGCAUCGACGGCUAACCUCCAACUCCCCUCCCGUUGAUCCCGGCACUGAAACAGGAGUUAUCCUAACCGAGCACUUCCCGUCAAGGGGUUCGGCUUAACGCCACUCAUGGUGUACCACUCUUGAUGAAAAUAGUUGAGUAUAUUGCAGUUAAGGGGUUUUGGGAUCCCAAAACUAAAUCUGUUUGUAUGUAUGUGCCACUUUUAUAUGUACAACAAGCCAUAUAAUAUUUUGUAUUAAUGGUCUAUAACUUAUUUCCAUUUUGCCUCCGAUACAAUUUUACAAUGAUCUCCUAGGACCAGUUAAAUUAGUCAAACAAAAAAUGUAUGCAUACACUUGAGCACUUGUUUCGUAAUUUACUUUGUUGCGAGCUCAACAUUUUAAAAAAACUGGUCCCCAAGUGAACUGCUAGAAAAUUUCAACUAAUUUGAGUUUAUCUUUAUUUUUAGGGAACAUAAAUUAGUAAGAUUAUCAUAUACCAGAUUCAGAUUAGAUUUAUUUACAAUGUGCUUGGGGAGGAAGAUGAGAAGACGUUGAUGUUGGUCGUGCCAUUGAUGGCGAUGGAAGCCAUGCGGAGGAGAUCAAGAGCAUUAACAACCUCUUGGCCCCGCUCGAUGUUGUUGCCGCCAUCAACAUCAACAACAUGGACCCUCUCGCGAGGCAGCUCCUGGAGCACCGGGGCUAGGGUUCUCUCUAGAAGAAGAACAUGCUGCUGACCAAGAUAUUGAACGCAGAUGAGAAGCACGACAACGACGGGGGGAGAAAAGACGGUUACCACCACGGGAGAAGAUGACUAUGACAAACCCAAGUGAUGUGCAUGAGAAUCAUAAGAUAUGUGUUAGUUUGUAACAUAUAAUUGUCUGGAUCAUUGCUCUCUAUGUUUACAUCAUCGAGUUACAUUGCAGUUGAAGUGAAUUCCAAUUUUUUUCCAAAAUUUUGCAGGUUAUCCUUUAUAUAUAUGAAAAAUAUGAUAUACAUUAUAUUCGCAAUCAGAACAAAUCUAUACAUGUGAAAUUUGAUAUGCAUUGUAUUCAUAGGUGUAAGCGGGAAAAAAAUGAAAAGCCUAUGGCAAUGCACGGGCGGGCGUUCUACUAGUAUCAAUUAAUGUGGUCCACCUACAGUCACAUAAUUCCUUAGAUAUUAGAUAUAGCAAAUUCUUUAUUGAUAAUAAUAUCAUUAAUAAAUGCAUGAUUCUAUAUCCAGCUAUCUAUCUGCAGAAUAAAGACACAAGAUUUCAUUAAUAAAUGGAGCAUUGUAUAUCUCCCUACCUCUGCACACAGAAUAAAUUGGUCAAAAAAAAAUCUAUGCCACAAAUGAUGCUUAUCUACAGAAAAUAGUGUUGCGGAAAGAACCAAACCUGUAACAUUAAAUUAGGUCGACCUACAAUCACAUAGAGUAUUUCUUUAGAUUUUUGGUACACAUAAUUCUUUCUUGAUAAAACUUAACAUUAAUAAAUGGAGAUUGUAUAUCCAACUAUCUAUAUGUGCUAUCUAUAUGCAGAAUAAAGAAACAGAUUUCACUAAUAAAUGGAGCAUUGUAUAUCUCCCUACCUAUGCACACAAAAUAAAUUGAUUGAAGACAAAAAUCAAUGACAGGAAUGAGUCUUAUCUGGGGAAAAUAUUGUGGCAGAAAGAUAGGAACCUAGGACAUUGAAUCAGGUCCACUUACGAUCAUUAAUUAAUGGAGGAUUAUAUAUAUCCAAUAAUAUAUAUGAAAGAAAAAAUAUUUCAUUAAUAAAUUGAACAUUGUAUAUCUCCCUACCCAUGCACACACAAUAAAUUGACCGAAGAAACAAAAUCUAUGACACUAAUGAGGUCCACUUACAAUCUUGAACUAGCACUAUGCAUAUCUUUUCGACUUAAAUGCUAGCAAUUAAUUGUUGCUCACCGCACCAUCUAUAUAAUCCUACUAUCUGGAUGCCCCCAAGCAACAAUUUCAACUUAUUGUGAGUUAAUACUUUCAUAGACAUGGAGCACUUUUGUUUCUUGGUCAUCCUCUCACUCUCUGGCUUGGCUGUGGCCUUGCAGCUGACCACUCCGUGCAACGCUGCGCAAGCUCAGCCACCACCAGUCUACGACAUAGAUGGCCACGAGCUAACAGGUAACAACAUGUACACCAUCAUGGCAGCAGAUCGCAAUCUGAGCGACCAUUGUAUCUCCGUUGGCUCAUUUCGGAGUGAGGAAUGUCAUAAGCAUGCGACCCUGACACCGUGCAAGCAAUUUGGCGGGAUGAGAGGCGUGCAUGUGUCGAUCAAGCCGGCGGAGGCGAGCGAUGGCUCUAGCAAGGAGGCGUCAAUCCGCCUCUCGACCGAUGUCGUGAUCGAAUUUAAAGGCGUGGUCACCUGGUGCAAGCACCAUCUCCGGUGGUACGUCCAUGGAGAGAACACGAACCAGACGCAUGUGUCCGCCAGCUGCUUCAGAGGGAUGAACGGAUGCCAACCGUCGGCAGGCACAUGCAUGGAACAAAGUUUCCUAUUCCGCGUCGAGAGGCAUGGCACCGGGUACAAGCUGACAUCGUGCUUCAAUGCGCCAUGCCGCGAUCUUGUGUUGUUCGACUACGCCGGCCAAAGGUGGCUGACCGUAAAGAAAGAUGGGCGUGAGCCUCUGGUGGUCGUGUUCAAGAAGUUCCCUCUCGCCAGCUUGCCACCUGCGAGUGCUCCCCAACUAGGCUAGUGUGUAUGCUACUAUGUAUGUGUACUUGCUUGAGCGUUCGAUGCAAGGAAUAAUUUCUAGUACAAGCAUGGAACUGUCCUAUUUUGCUGGUCACUGUUCGAUGCGACAAGGGGCGGCCGACGGACGGAACUCUGUUGUAGCAGGCGGCAGCUCGCUCAAGUUAACACACACUUCUCUGUGUGUGUGUGUGUGUGUGUGUGUGUCUGUGUGUGUGUGUUUCGAGAGAAAACUAUGGGAAAGUGAAGACAUGUAGGAUUGCGAUCCAACGGUUACAAUUACACAGGGUUGCAUCGGACGGCCGUGCGGUGAUCGGCCAAAAUUUGGAACGGUCGACUGACUUCUAGUGUUCACCUUUUCACUUUCUCUUUGAUUUGUU